GACGAACGCUGGCGGCGUGCUUAACACAUGCAAGUCGAACGGAAAGGCCUCUUUCGGGGGGUACUCGAGUGGCGAACGGGUGAGUAACACGUGAGUAACCUGCCCUUGACUUUGGGAUAACUUCAGGAAACUGGGGCUAAUACCGGAUAGGAGCUCCUGCUGCAUGGUGGGGGUUGGAAAGUUUCGGCGGUUGGGGAUGGACUCGCGGCUUAUCAGCUUGUUGUUGGGGUAGUGGCUUACCAAGGCUUUGACGGGUAGCCGGCCUGAGAGGGUGACCGGCCACACUGGGACUGAGAUACGGCCCAGACUCCUACGGGAGGCAGAAGGGGGGAAUAUUGCAUAAGGGGUGGAAGCCUGAUGCAGCAACGCCGUGUGCGGGAUGACGGCCUUCGGGUUGUAAACCGCUUUCGCUCAUGACGAAGCUUUGUGUGACGGUAGUGGGUAAAGAAGCACCGGCUAACUACGUG
This 467-nucleotide ribosomal RNA is filed under the name uncultured bacterium. RNAcentral's name for it is "partial 16S ribosomal RNA". It matches the Rfam family "Bacterial small subunit ribosomal RNA", at positions 28 to 507 of the family's 1533-position model. The record is from RNAcentral.